Cydia fagiglandana is the source of this 1050-nucleotide long non-coding RNA. RefSeq lists it as uncharacterized. The transcript is spliced from 2 exons. The record is from RefSeq and is a predicted model, not a curated record. Lineage: Eukaryota; Metazoa; Arthropoda; Insecta; Lepidoptera; Tortricidae.
UUCAGCGAGGGUCACCAAAUCAGAGGCUUGUAGUAGAUUUGCGUUUGUAAUUUAUAGUGAAAGUAUUUAUAUAGUAAGUUACGCCAGGAAGAGGAGGGUUUCUUGAAGGUGCGGGGCCUCACUUGGCCCCGCACGGACCCUUAAUUUCGAAAAUGCUCGGAUGAGAGCUGACGAAGAACUGAACAGAAUGUCGGUUGUUCCGCUUUUAUACCUGAUUCUUUAGAACAUCUAAAGAAUCAGAUUUACAAGAUUUGAAAUUUAAAAAUAGUCGAGUACCAGUUAUGAUUUUACCAAAAUUUUGAAUAACCUUUGCCGAAAGUAUACAUACUAGUCUUUUUAGUGGUGAAAUCCGAACAGUUGAAAGCCGAUUGACGGGUUACGUCAAUCAUCUUACAAAAUGUAAACAAUGAAAGAAUCCCGAAAAAUACAGCGAUAAUAUUAACAAAAAUCCCCUAGAUUUAUAUAAAAUAGUUGGAAAACCCUAAAGGUAUGUAUUUAGGUGGCUUAGGGCCGCAUUGCAUAUGAAAAGUUAUAAAAAUAAUAGCCCAAAGUAAGCCAGGCAGAAGUCCCAGUCUUCCCAUGCAUCCUGAGGGUUGAAAAGGACUUUAAGAGUCUUAUUAGAGUCUGUAAAUUUCAGAUACAAUUCAAGAAGUAUCAUAAUGUGAUCGGAGCCAUAAUAAGCAAGUCAGAACGAUCGGACUUGGAAAGCUAAAUGAAAGAAUUAGGAUACAAUAAACAGAGGAAGGAGGUCAUUCCAAGAGUUGGCCUACCGCUCUGGAUGAAGAAAAUAAAAAGAAAGAAAGAAAAGGGGCACCUGGCGGAUAAGCCACCCUAAGUAAGAUAUGGAGAAAUAUUUACAGGAUGAACACACACACACGUAAUGGAAUACAUGGAAAAUGAAGAUUAAUGGAGGAUGAAACGAGCUUGGAGAAGGGAGAGGGGAGAAGAAGGAGCCGAGUAGAAGGCUGAAGAAAGAAAAAUAUGAUUAGUAACAAAGUAAAGAACUAUAAAAAAUACAAGUUAUAAAUAAAUAAAAGUGUUAAAAAAAGA